Pelobates cultripes (western spadefoot toad) is the source of this 214-nucleotide non-coding RNA. Lineage: Eukaryota; Metazoa; Chordata; Amphibia; Anura; Pelobatidae. The record is from the annotation of a GenBank genome assembly.
GGUUAUGCUGUCCUUGUAAUUGUGAGGUCCUCGCGAUCACAUGGCCCAGGAGGGCCGGAACAGCAGCAGGGGGACUCCCUGGCAUGGCAGGUAAGUCAUCCCCCCACGCCAGGGAUGUGCUAUGCAGCCCACUGGCGUUUAGAGCCGGGUCGCCAAGGAUGGCAUAGCACGCUCACGGUCCUUAAGGGGGGUUAAAGAUCACAGAACCCAAAAC